RNAcentral lists this ribosomal RNA (300 nucleotides) under uncultured Sulfophobococcus sp. RNAcentral's name for it is "bacterial SSU rRNA". The stretch from base 52 to 300 matches the Rfam family "Bacterial small subunit ribosomal RNA", at positions 547 to 795 of the family's 1533-position model. The record is from RNAcentral. Lineage: Archaea; Thermoproteati; Thermoproteota; Thermoprotei; Desulfurococcales; Desulfurococcaceae.
GUAGAUGACGGUACGUAGGCCGGGGUAGGACGUGGGGGUGAGGGGUUAAUGGUAAGUACUGGGCGUAAUGUGGGCGGCGGCGGCUAUGCAAGACAGAUGUGAAAUCCCCGGGCGCAACCUGGGAACUGCAUUUGGGACUGCAUGGCUAGAGUGCGGCAGAGGGGGAUGGAAUUCCGCGUGUAGCAGUGAAAUGCGUAGAUAUGCGGAGGAACACCGAUGGCGAAGGCAAUCCCCUGGGCCUGCACUGACGCUCAUGCACGAAAGCGUGGGGAGCAAACAGGAUUAGAUACCCGGGUAGUC